This 492-nucleotide ribosomal RNA is filed under the name uncultured bacterium. Its description in RNAcentral is "partial 16S ribosomal RNA". It matches the Rfam family "Bacterial small subunit ribosomal RNA", at positions 29 to 507 of the family's 1533-position model. The record is from RNAcentral.
AGUGAACGCUGGCGGCAGGCCUAACACAUGCAAGUCGAACGGACGCACAGUAAGUGCUUGCUCUUACGGGUGGCGCGUGGCGGACGGGUGCGGUAUACAUCGGAUUCUACUUUUUCGUGGGGGAUAACGCCGGGAAACUUAUGCUAAUACCGCAUACGACCUCCGGGUGGAAGCAGGCGUCCUUUGAACCUUUCGCGUGUGAUUGUGCCGCAGUCGGACUAGCUAGUUGGCGUGGUAAGGGCGCACCAAGGCGACGAUCCGUAGCUGGUCUGAGAGGAUGAUCAGCCACACUGGAAGUGAGACACGGUCCAGACUCCUACGGGAGGCAGCAGUAGGGAAUCUUGGGCAAUGGGGGAGAGCCUGAUCCAGCCAAACCGGGUAAGGGAAGAAGGACUUAGGGUGGGAAAGCCCUGUUGUUGGGAAAGAAAAGAAGUUGUUUAACACCCGGCUGUACUGACGGUACCCGAAGAAUAAGCACCGGCUAACUUCGUG